RNAcentral lists this ribosomal RNA (253 nucleotides) under uncultured bacterium. Its description in RNAcentral is "partial 16S ribosomal RNA". It matches the Rfam family "Bacterial small subunit ribosomal RNA", at positions 524 to 776 of the family's 1533-position model. The record is from RNAcentral.
UACAUAGGGUGCAAGCGUUGUCCGGAAUUAUUGGGCGUAAAGGGCUCGUAGGCGGUCUGUUGCGUCGGGAGUGAAAACUCAGGGCUUAACCCUGAGCCUGCUUCCGAUACGGGCAGACUAGAGGUAUGCAGGGGAGAACGGAAUUCCUGGUGUAGCGGUGAAAUGCGCAGAUAUCAGGAGGAACACCGGUGGCGAAGGCGGUUCUCUGGGCAUUACCUGACGCUGAGGAGCGAAAGUGUGGGGAGCGAACAGG